Molecule: non-coding RNA, 195 nt
Organism: Leptonychotes weddellii (Weddell seal)
Lineage: Eukaryota; Metazoa; Chordata; Mammalia; Carnivora; Phocidae
Source: RefSeq, a predicted model, not a curated record
AAGAUGUUCAUACCAAUAAAUGUGGGGCUUUGAGUCCUCUAUUUUUCUUUUUUAGUUUGAAAACCAAGACAGGAAGAGCAGGAUCUUAGAAGACAGUGAAGACUGCUGACGGACACUCGCAAUCCAGCCACAUAAACGUUAGGAAGGAAUACUGGUCCUCAUGGAAGAAGAGCAAGACUUACCAGAACAACCAGU